GAUGAACGCUAGCGGCAGGCUUAAUACAUGCAAGUCGAGGGGCAGCAUAGUGUAGCAAUACAUGGGUGGCGACCGGCAAACGGGUGCGGAACACGUACAGAACCUUCCUUCGAGCGGGGAAUAGCCCAGAGAAAUUUGGAUUAAUACCCCAUAGGAUAGUGGAGUGGCAUCACUCAGCUAUUAAAGAUUUAUCACUUGAAGAUGGCUGUGCGUCUGAUUAGGUAGUUGGCGGGGUAACGGCCCACCAAGCCAGCGAUCAGUAACUGGUGUGAGAGCACGACCAGUCACACGGGCACUGAGACACGGGCCCGACUCCUACGGGUGGCUG
RNAcentral lists this ribosomal RNA (328 nucleotides) under uncultured Bacteroidota bacterium. RNAcentral's name for it is "bacterial SSU rRNA". It matches the Rfam family "Bacterial small subunit ribosomal RNA", at positions 28 to 351 of the family's 1533-position model. The record is from RNAcentral. Lineage: Bacteria; Pseudomonadati; Bacteroidota.